GACCUCGGAUCGGGUAGGGAUACCCGCUGAACUUAAGCAUAUCAAUAAGCGGAGGAAAAGAAACCAACAGGGAUUGCCUUAGUAACGGCGAGUGAAGCGGCAACAGCUCAAAUUUGAAAUCUGGCUCUUUCAGGGUCCGAGUUGUAAUUUGUAGAAGAUGCUUCGGGUGUGGUACCGGUCUAAGUUCCUUGGAACAGGACGUCAUAGAGGGUGAGAAUCCCGUAUGUGACUGGUCACCUUCGCUCAUGUGAAGCUCUUUCGACGAGUCGAGUUGUUUGGGAAUGCAGCUCAAAAUGGGUGGUAAAUUUCAUCUAAAGCUAAAUAUUGGCCAGAGACCGAUAGCGCACAAGUAGAGUGAUCGAAAGAUGAAAAGCACUUUGGAAAGAGAGUUAAACAGUACGUGAAAUUGUUGAAAGGGAAGCGCUCGCAACCAG
This 434-nucleotide ribosomal RNA is filed under the name uncultured fungus. RNAcentral describes it as "eukaryotic LSU rRNA". It matches the Rfam family "Eukaryotic large subunit ribosomal RNA", at positions 1 to 432 of the family's 3401-position model. Lineage: Eukaryota; Fungi. The record is from RNAcentral.